RNAcentral lists this ribosomal RNA (253 nucleotides) under uncultured bacterium. Its description in RNAcentral is "partial 16S ribosomal RNA". It matches the Rfam family "Bacterial small subunit ribosomal RNA", at positions 524 to 776 of the family's 1533-position model. The record is from RNAcentral.
UACGAAGGUCCCAAGCGUUAUCCGGAUUUAUUGGGUUUAAAGGGUGCGUAGGCGGCUUAUUAAGUCAGUGGUGAAAGCCCCAAGCUUAACUUGGGAACUGCCAUUGAUACUGAUGAGCUUGAGUAGAUUUGAGGCGGGCGGAAUGUGUCGUGUAGCGGUGAAAUGCUUAGAUAUGACACAGAACACCAAUUGCGUAGGCAGCCCGCUAAACUCUUACUGACGCUGAGGCACGAAAGCAUGGGGAUCAAACAGG